AAGAAUGAGCAGAGGUGGUACCUCCAUGGAAGGGGCAGAGAAGGUUGGGGCCAUAAUUCCGGGGCUAGAGGGCCCCCUCCCUCGAUGCUUCAAGGAAGCUUCCGGAAUGUUCCUUUGGACUCGGUGGGACGUACCCACCAAUGUGACACCAGCGCUCAGAGUUUUUCCAUCUGCAAAGUAUUUGGAAACAGUAACUAAUUCAUCUAGACAACACACCUGGGAGGCAGAGCGGUAUUAACUGCUCUAUGUUACUUGGCUAAGUACAGGCUAAACCUCUUUAGUCCAACGCCCUUGGGACUUGACCGGUGCUGACCCAGAGAAUUUGCUCAAUCUCAGGAUAGAGAUAAUCCAUAUGGCCAGUGGAGGAGUUUAUUAUUUCUAAUGCCAACUGGUUAUUUCUGUCUUUGAAUUCUGAUUGGUUGAAGAAAUGAGAAAAGAAGAAAACUGGACAGGAGCUUUUGAGUUCACUGCACAAAUAUGGGACUGAAAAAGGAAAAGAAAACAGAAAGAAGCAAAAGAAGCAAAGCACUGAACAACAUGCUUAACGUCGUGUCUGUAAGCAAACUCACCAAAGUAGGCGAGAUGACAAAUUGGGAAAGACAUGCAAAUGGGCUGGUUGAAAAACAACAACUAUGAAUCUGCAAAACAAAUUGCCUUCUUUUUUGGUUCUCUCAAAAUAUUCAUAAAAGCAAAAGUUAAUCAUUAAUUUGUUUUUCUUCACUUUUCUAAUUUAUAAACCAGUUGUCAUAGAUUUCUAAAUGUAACUGAUUUUUACCAAUAAAAACUUACUGACAUGCUGUUUCAUCAGUGCAGGUAAGUGCCACGCUGACAAGUCCUUCAUAUUAUUUCUGAUGCUUCUGAACUACUCAUACACUUAACCAUUCUAAGUAUCCCAAUCACCCGGUCAACUUCCUGCUGGCAUGUGAACAGGAAUGACAAAUUAUGAAGUCACAGAUCAAGGGCUCUCUUAGAACAGGGUCAUGCAAGCAUAUCAGAAAACAUCCCCCAUGCCUCUCAUUGAAAAUAAAUGCCAAAAAGCACAAUUCCCAAUCCUGCAACUACACUGCCACUGUCCAGAGACAAAUAAAACUUGCAACAAAAAGAUGUUUUCUGAUGAAAUAUUCGAGAUAACAUUGUAUGGUCUGUUCCUUGAAUUAGCCCUUUAAAAUAAAGAGAGUGUUUUUUUUCCCUCCAUGUUGUAAUGUUCCCAACAACUGCCCGAGUCACAGGCAUAACAAAAUCAUAUGGGAACUCAAGGUCAAAUCCUGCCAUGAUUCAGACGCUGGGCAAACCCAACAUCGGAUCAGUGAGAAACUGCCAAGCUUUUUGCUCAGUUUUGCAUUUUUUAUUGAAGGUUAUCUUUCCGAGGAAAGGGCUAGAGCAGACUUUGAUUUCAAUGAGAGAUGUGUUUUGACUUGACAGGGCGAUAUGCCUCAAAGUCUAACUCAUGGCAGAAUUUGCCUCACGGUUUUUUGGCUCCCUCGAGGAGCAGUUCUAAAUGUAGCUUUUCCUAUCACCAGGAAUAACCAUUCGCCAGAAUGUUUAAAAAGAAGCUGCAUGUGUGAGUCUGCUUGGUGGCGUGAACUUUUCAACACACUUCAUGGAUGCAAAUACUGCACAAGUGCACCCCAUUUCGCUCAGCGGGGAUAAAAAGAGAGGAAGCUAGCGGGACAUGCAUGCUAAUCAUCAAUCUAUAUUUUUUCUUGUACAUGGUAUCAAACUCCCCAUAACGGGGUCGGCACUCACCUCACAUGAGCGGCCCUGUUUGGUCGAGUGCGGGUUCCUGCAUUGUCUCAGUUUUAAAAGCCUUGCAGCUACUCAGCCCUCCAGGGCUUCUACCCCUGGAGACAGUGUCCUAACAGUUCUCCACUCUGAGCUGCACUUGGUUCUUCCUGCCAGGCCCCUUGACCUUCUCCCUUCCCAGUCUGAGCUACAAGUGAGCUGCCUCUAGUGCUGCAGCUUCUUAUAUAGUCCCUCCUGGCUCCUGAUUGGCUGGUUCCUCCACAGCCACUCUAGCCUCCUGGAGGACUUCUCUAUAGCCCUCAUGGCUUUAAGGCCUAGCCCCAUUACACUCCCACUUCCUUUAUGUGUUUCUGUUUAGCUUGUAAACCAUUCCAGGCAAGAGUUGCCUCUUGCCAUCCAUUUUUACAAGUUUACUACAAGGAAGCCCCAACCCUGAGUGGGGCUUUUCAGUGUUACAACCAACAACAAAUAGUAGUAAUAAUAAUUGGAAAAUAAAGAAUAGACUGAAAAACCGCAAGAUCUCCAGCAGCCCCCAAACACAAUAGUCCACACAAUAGGAAUUAAGAUUUGAAGGAAAUUGCUCAAAUUUUGUGACGCUUCAAUGUAUGAGUUUAAACUCACCAUAAGAACAUAAGAGCGGCCAGACUGGGUCAGACCAAAGGUCCAUCUAACCCAGUAUCCAGUCUGCCCAUAGUGGCCAAUGUUAGAUACCCCCAGAAGGAGUGAACAGAACAGAAUAAUCAUCACAUGAUCC
Molecule: non-coding RNA, 2497 nt
Organism: Pelodiscus sinensis (Chinese soft-shelled turtle)
Lineage: Eukaryota; Metazoa; Chordata; Testudines; Trionychidae
Source: RefSeq, a predicted model, not a curated record